UCCUGACCUCGGAUCAGACGUGAUUACCCGCUGAACUUAAGCAUAUCACUAAGCGGAGGAAAAGAAACUAACAAGGAUUCCCUUAGUAACGGCGAGUGAACAGGGAAAAGCCCAGCACCGAAGCCUGUGGUCAUUUAAUCACUAGGCAAUGUGGUUUUCAGGUCGUUCCGUUGAGGUGCUGCUCCACCCUAAGUCCAGCAAUGAGUACGGUGGUACGGACAUGGCCCACAGAGGGUGAAAGGCCCGUGGGGGUGGAGAUCAGGCAGGCCAGUGCCUCUCUGGGUAGACCUUGGAGUCGGGUUGUUUGUGAAUGCAGCCCAAAGUGGGUGGUAAACUCCAUCCAAGGCUAAAUACUUGCACGAGUCCGAUAGCGAACAAGUACCGUGAGGGAAAGUUGAAAAGUACUUUGAAGAGAGAGUAAACAGUGCGUGAAACCGCUCAGAGGUAAGCGGGUGGAGUUGAACUGCAAGCUUUGAGAAUUCAGCUGGUGAGUAUGGUUUGAGCUUGGUCAAGUUUGGCUGGAUAUUGAGGUCUGCGUAGUAGCAGGUUCUAGUCCCUCGGGGCAGGAUGCGCGAUACACUUAUCAAGUGUUGUGCGCCUCAGUAUUUUGUCGGGCCAAUUCGCCAGUGCACUUUCUCAGAGUGUUCACCACGACCGGCACUGCUGUCUGGCUGUAGUGGUUAAACCGGGCUUACAUCGUCCUUGUGGCUUUGCAUGUUCGGGAAGGCAGGUGGCACGUUGGCUUGCUUGUAGUUUACUGCAGGCAUUUGGUCUUCGUGUGUAAUCAGCUGACCACAACAGUUCUGUGCAGUGUGUCGGGGCUAACGGCUUGUGGUACUUGCGUGCGUGCUUGUUCUGCUGGCGAGUCCGGGUUUGGUUAUCAUGUUGCCUGCAAGUGCAGGCCUGGGAAUGGCUCGGAUUUGUCCAGUGGGCGGUUGCGUACGUGGUGCUGUUAGAUGGCCAAGAGUCUGUGGUGUAGUGGUAGACUAUCCACCCGACCCGUCUUGAAACACGGACCAAGGAGAGUAACAUGUGCGCGAGUCAUUGGGCGUAACGAAACCCACAGGCGCAGUGAAAGUAAAGGUCUGGCUUGUCUAGACUGAGGUGAGAUCCUGUCGUUUUCACGCCUGGUACCACCAAGCAUCGAGCGGCAGGCGCAUCACCGGCCCGUCCCAUGACGUAGACACAUAAUCUUCGGACCAGUGCACCGUCGGGGCGGAGCAUGAGCGUACAUGUUGAGACCCGAAAGAUGGUGAACUAUGCUUGCGCAGGUUGAAGCCAGAGGAAACUCUGGUGGAGGACCGCAGCGAUUCUGACGUGCAAAUCGAUCGUCAAACGUGAGUAUAGGGGCGAAAGACUAAUCGAACCAUCUAGUAGNNNNNNNNNNNNNNNNNNNNNNNNNNNAUAGCUGGCGUUCAGAAAAGUAAACAGUUUUAUCCGGUAAAGCGAAUGAUUAGAGGCCUUGGGGGCGAAACGUCUUCAACCUAUUCUCAAACUUUAAAUGGGUGAGAAGCUCAACUCGCAAGAGCGGAGUUGGGCCUUGAAUGUGAGUGCCAAGUGGGCCAUUUUUGGUAAGCAGAACUGGCGCUGUGGGAUGAACCAAACGUCCGGUUAAGGUGCCUAACGCGACGCUCAUCAGAUACCACAAAAGGUGUUGGUUGGUCUAGACAGCAGGACGGUGGCCAUGGAAGUCGGAAUCCGCUAAGGAGUGUGUAACAACUCACCUGCCGAAUCAACCAGCCCUGAAAAUGGAUGGCGCUGGAGCGUCGGACCUAUACCGGACCGUUACUGCAAGCUGAGUCGGUAAUGUGUGGUGUGAGGGCAAGCCGCACGACUCAGGCACGGAGUGGUGGUAACGAGUAGGAGGGUCGCCGUGGUGAGCGGGAAGCUUCGGACGUGAGUCUGAGUGGAGCCGCCACGGGCGCAGAUCUUGGUGGUAGUAGCAAAUAUUCAAGUGAGAACCUUGAAGGCCGAGGUGGAGAAGGGUUCCAUGGGAACAGCAGUUGGCCAUGGGUCAGGCGGUCCUAAGUGAUCCGAUAACUCGGUACAGAGACGGGGUGCCUGACAUUGUCAGGAAUUGCUGCUCGUAUUGUUGCAAGGCAGCCCCCUGUAGCGAAAGGGAAUCGGGUUAAUAUUCCCGACCCUGCCCACGGAGAUUGGUGUAUUCCGGUCAUGUGCUGGUUUGCAUCUAGCGCGGUAACGCAACCGACCUCGGAGACGUCGGCAAGAGUUCUGGGAAGAGUUCUCUUUUCUUUAUUAGGAGCGCAUCCAUCCCCUGGAAUCGGGUUGUCCGGAGAUAGGGGACUAGCCUCCGUAAAGCACCACCCCUCUUGUGGUGUCCGGAACGCUCUUGUCGGCCCUUGAAAAUCCGAGCAAGGCAAUAUAAUUUUCGUGGCAGGCCGUACCCAUAUCCGCAUCAGGUCUCCAAGGUGAACAGCCUCUGGCAUUUGAACAAUGUAGGUAAGGGAAGUCGGCAAAUUGGAUCCGUAACUUCGGGAAAAGGAUUGGCUCUGAGGGCCGAGUCAAAUGGGCUGGCGUCAGAUACGUGUCGGUCAAGUUGGGGGCUGGUUUUUCUGUUGCUCUAUUCGCUUCGGCGUUUGGGGUUGAUGGGAUUACUGGAGUCUGACCAGGCCGGUCGUGGACGAUGUCAGCUGUAGUGCUGCUUGGUUUCGCACGUACACGGGCAACCUUGUGCGUGUGUUUCCUUGCUUCCUUCGUUUGGCGUUAAACGGCUAACUCAGAACUGGCACGGACCAGGGGAAUCCGACUGUCUAAUUAAAACAAAGCAUUGCGAUGUCCACUGAUCGGUUUUGACGCAAUGUGAUUU
This 2827-nucleotide ribosomal RNA is filed under the name Troglotrematidae sp. HS-2009. RNAcentral's name for it is "eukaryotic LSU rRNA". It matches the Rfam family "Eukaryotic large subunit ribosomal RNA", at positions 1 to 2197 of the family's 3401-position model. Lineage: Eukaryota; Metazoa; Platyhelminthes; Trematoda; Plagiorchiida; Troglotrematidae. The record is from RNAcentral.